RNAcentral lists this ribosomal RNA (216 nucleotides) under Glomeromycotina sp. RNAcentral's name for it is "partial small subunit ribosomal RNA". The stretch from base 40 to 216 matches the Rfam family "Eukaryotic small subunit ribosomal RNA", at positions 686 to 864 of the family's 1831-position model. The record is from RNAcentral. Lineage: Eukaryota; Fungi; Glomeromycota.
GGGUCAGUAGGUUGGUCGUGCCACCGGUACGUACUGGUCUCACUGAUUCCUCCUUCCUGAAGAACCGUAAUGCCAUUAAUUUGGUGUUGCGGGGAAACAGGACUGUUACUUUGAAAAAGUUAGAGUGUUUAAAGCAAGCUAACGCUUGAAUACGUUAGCAUGGAAUAAUGAAAUAGGACGAUCGAUCCUAUUUUGUUGGUUUCUAGGAUUGACGUA